UAAAUCUAUAAACAUAAUCCUUUCAGUUCAGAAAACCCUCAACUCUAAAAAAACAUUCAACUCAAAAAUGGCAUAACCACACACUUUCACAAUAAAGUGGAUUUUUUGAACAACUUUGUCUAGGGUUUGAAACUAUUAUACGCGCCCUCUUCUUUAUUGUCAACAUUUCUACUGUUCUUUAAUGAAUAAUCAAAAGUAAUAUUUAUACUAUAAAUUUUAACAAUGGAGAGGAAGAAGAAGAAGUGAUCCUCUGCCGACGAAGAAGAGGUGAUCAAAAGGGAACCGCCUUCAGCAGGAGAGGCACCCCUACCGCCGGGAGGGGAAAGGGUCCGAUGCUUAUCGUCCACCAGAAGUGUUGGACUAUCGAUUAAUUGUGAUACACACUAUCGCACAUCUCGAAGUGAGGUAAACAAUAUAAAAAUUUAGGUCGAACAACAUUCAGCUCCGAUUCGGACAAUUUGAAGUGAGAGAGCUAAAAUUAUUGAGUGGGUUAAGCACGGGGAAGGAGUGGUGGUGGAAGAUCAGGAUAAAACAGUUAUGCAUUUCACUAUCGAAUGUCAUGGUAUACUGCACUCUAAGAAAAAUGGCUACUUUUGUAUCAAGUCGCUGGAUCAAGUCUUGUUUGGAGGUAUUUGAAUGUGUUCCCCUCAAGAACUUUUCUUGUUACAUUCUUUGAUUUUUCUGAUAAUGCUUUUUCUGUAAUUUAGUAUUUUUUCAAGACUAGAAAAAGUAUGACUUGGGGUCAGGACCUUCCCUAGACCCCAUGCAUAGCGGGAGCUUUAGUACACCGAACUGCCCUGUUUUAGAGAAGUAUGACUUGACGACCAUCAAAACAAACUAAUAUCUAAAAGAGAAAGCUUUCUAGGGCUUAGGUUCUCCCGAGCAUUCUGUUACAUUUAUUGAACCUCCUAUGCUCUACUUAAAUAUACUAGUUAUUAAUCUUAGACAUUAAUUUACUUUCAUGUAUGUUCUCAAUGGCAUACAAGCCUAUUUUCUAUAUUCCUAGGAGAAUGGAACUUAUUAGGAUGCAUUUGUGUCAAGCUCAAGUCAUGAGCAUACAGGGUAAAUUGGUAUAUUCCUAUACUAGUUAAAGAAUCAAUCCAACUAAUGAUAUGGUUAUCUUUAAUCCUUGUUCAUAUACUAUUCAAUUUGUGUCUAAUCUUAUACCCUUUUUUCCAAGUUCACUAUUUUAUUCCCAAUCAAUUGUAAAAAAUGUACACUCACUCACAAAAAUUAAGCACAAGACUGAAAAAUAACACAAGACCAUUUUAUGUAAAGCAAGGAGAACUCAAUCAAAUCCUUAAUCCAUGAUCGCUUUCAUUAAAUUCUUAUUACACAACUUAACUCAUGAAAUAACACAAGGACAAUGAUACACAUGCAUUACAAAUCUAAGAUAAAUAGGAAGAUACAAAGGAUGAUCUUAUAGUUGAAUCCUUUGAAUCAUCAAUCAUCUUGCUUCUUGUAUUUUUCCUGGCUCCGGAAACUUCAUUCCAAGAUCCUCACCCGACCUCCUUUCUUUCUUCCUUACACCCUUGUUAAAUUUGAAGAAAAGACAAUAUCAGAAAUCAAGCUCAUUUUGAGUUAUGUGAUUGUAAUAAGCUUGCUAUCUUAAGCUUUAGAUAUUGCAUAAUUACUAAAUCACUAUAUCUUUUUUAUGCGGUCAGAUCAAUUCAUUGCUUUGGGUGAUUUCAGUUAAUUUAGAUAUAACUUUUCCUUGGAAACUCCAAACGAUGAUCAGUUUGAAGCACUAGAGACUAACCACCAAGGAUUUAUAAUAUUCCUUAAGGUUUCAUGUCCAAAUGCCUCAUAAAGUGAGUUAUGCGCCUCUGAGGUUGAUCAUGAUUCUUAUUGUAGAGUAUGUUGCUUUUCACUCUAAUUUUUAACUUUUCUUGACUUGUUCUGUGUUGUUGUUCACCAUUAGACUUCAAAAGCUUCUUUGUUUCUAUAAAAGUCAAUUAAUGGCCAGUCAUUCCCACUUUCAUAACCUGUACAAACAUGAUAAUUGAAAAAGGUACACACAAAAUUCUCUAUUUCUAGCCAAACAUAAGUUCGGACUUGAAUAAACAUAUAUAAACCAGCUCAUCAAAUUAUGAACGACUUCCUCUAGAGAAUAUGUUGAUAUGCUUAUCUAUAAUUCAAGUCGCUAAUAGAGAAAAUGAUCUUGAAUUCACAAAUAAUAUGUGUUGUUUGCUUUCUAAAUAUUUUAAUACAGUGAUGAUAAUUUAAUUAAUAUGUAUUGUCGAAUUGGUUCAACUUCAUUUUCAUUAUUUACGCCUUUUUUAUGAUUUUUUUUUCUUUUCGAAGACUACAAGUCCUUUAGAUAAUCCCCUGAACUUGAGGGUGGGGAAUGGAAGAGGAUGGUUUUUCUUUUGCAGUCUCACUUUCUGUUAUCUUGAGAUGUGAAGUUAAAUCUGCUCGAUUUAUUGUAAAAGGUGCAGAGUAAUAAUAUGGACUCUGCAGUCUCUCUUGUUCUUUGCUACUGAAUUCUUACAUUAUACAAAUUAAGGUUAAUGAAAAAGAAAUAUUGUUUUUAUGAAGGAUGGAUGCUUACUGGAUGUUGGUAGUCACAUUCUUUAUUAUCCAUUUCCAUGUCGAGUUCCUUUCCCAGCAUUUUAGAGUUUCUGCUUAUGUGUUUUGCAGUAUGAUGAGAAAGAGAGUCAGUUCCUGAGAAAUUUUAUGUUUUACAAUUGGAGACAAAUUUGUUAAGAAAUUAACAAAAAAGGUCACACAUUUGUUGUGUAAAUUUAUUAGUGGCCCAAAAUAUGAGAUUGCAUGUAAGUGGGGAAUACAACCAAUCACUUGUGAGAGGAUUUAUGAGUGUAUCAGGCAAGUUAGUGCAGUCCUUUCUUUCUACAUUUUGUACUCUUUGUUCUUUUCCAUUCUUUAUCUUCAUGGUAGCUUCUUAUUACGGUUGUUGGAGCAGAACAAAAAUGUUUCUGCAGAUCUAUUUUAUACUAAAGAAAUCACUUCUGAAGAUCGAGAAGUUGGGGCAUGCAUAGUGAGCCAGUUCCCGACGCAAGCUUUUAGGAUGAUAUCAGGUGAUACCACUUACCAGCCUUAAACCCAGGCCCAAGAGUUCAUAAAUGUGAGAGCUGAAGCUUUUGCUGGUAAAAGUACUGCAAAAAGAAAAAAAUGAAGUAUUCAAGUAAAUUGAAUAAGAAGGCUAGGCUCUUGGUGAUUGAAGAAUUCAAUUGUUCAUUGUCCUUCUUAACAAAAGAAAAUAAUUCAUUUUGCGGGGCAAAUCCCCCAGAAAAGAACCUGACAGGAAGUAGUAAUAUAGGUUCUUCCGUAGUUUCUGAUGUAGCUGCUGCUAUAGAGGAUUUAUUGGAGCAAAUAAGCAAGGUAAUUUAAUAUUAAAACAAAAUAUCCUUAGGCUUUUUUAUAUGUUGAGAGAAGUCUUGCUCUUAAUUCGUGAUAAUUCUUUCAAUGGCUUCUGAUCUAAGAACCAUGAUCAAAAGUCUCCAUCAAGAAGCGAGUGUGAUAAAGAACUAUGGCUUUAUCAAGUGUUUUCUUCUUUCUUUCUCUCUUUACUCUUGACAUAUGCAAAGUUUGAGUCCUUUGACUAAAACAACUCUUUACAUCUAGAUGUAACAAUUUUUCUCAAGGUCAUGGAGAUGGUCAUGCUACUCUUGGAUUGUCUGACCACUAGAUGAACAGGUGAUCAAUUUUCCAUGUUUUUGGUCAAGUUUGGCGUUGUCUCAUAUCUUUGCUCUUCACUUUCUCAUCUUACUGAUAUUGUUAGCCGACCAUUUUGCUGAAAACCUCAUGGAUGAAGAGUACAAACCUCUUAAAACUUAUAUGCUAGAUGAAAAAGUUUUUUUUAUUAGAGAAGAUAUAUCAGAAGAAUAUCCAAGUUGGAGAAUGUUGUUUGAUGGGGCAACAAACUUCAAAGGAGUUGGUAUUGGGGCUGUACUAAUUUCAAAAUUAGGCCAGCAUUACCCAAUCUCAGCAAAACUCUGGUUUCCAUGCACUAACAAUAUGGCAGAGUACGAGGCUUGCAUUAUUGGUCUUAGAAUGGCUAUUGGUAUGAACAUACAGGAACUGUUGGUUACAAGGGAUUCAAAGUUAGUGGUUCAUCAAGUACAAGGUAAAUGGAAUGUCAAGAACGUAAAGCUACUUCCAUAGUUGGAGUGUGUGAAAGAGUUGCACAAGAAGUUCAUCAAGGUUAAAUUUAAACAUGUCCUAAGAACUCAGAAUGAGUUAGCAGAUACAUUGGCAACCUUGUCCUCUAUGAUUCAACAUCCAGACAAGAAUUUCAUAGAUCCUAUCAAGGUGAAUGUACAAGAAAAACCAACCUACUGUUUUCACGUAGAUGAGAAGACGGACGAAAAACCUUGGUACUACAAGAUUAAGAGAAAUCUCAGGGAAGGAGACUAUCCAGAAGGCAUAACCAGUAUUCAGAAGAGAACACUUUGGAGAUUGGCGAAUAACUUUUUCCUAAAUGAAGAAAUCCUUUAUAGGAGGACCCCGAAUUUAGGAUUGCUAAGGUUCAUCGAUGCUCAGGAGGCGAACAGGUUAGUAUAAGAAAUACAUAUGGGCAUCUGAGGCAUCAUAUGAAUGGUUUUGUUUUGGCAAUGAAGAUUUUUUGAGUUGGUUAUUUUUGGAUGAAAAUGGAAACAAAUUGCAUUAGCUUUGUGCAAAGAUGUCAUCAGUGUCGGAUUCAUGGUGAUUUGAUUCAUGUUCCACCAAAUGAACUCAAUGUGAUGAGUUCUCCCUGGUCAUUCACAGCUUGGGGUAUGGGUAUCAUCGAUCCUAUUAAGCCAGUUGCAUCCAGUGGACAUAGGUUCAUUUUUGUAGCUAUUGAUUAUUUCACUAAAUGGGUAGUAGCCUCUUCGUAAAAGUCCAUAACAAAGAAGGUGGUGAUAGAUUUUGUUCGCAAGUACAUUAUUUGUCAAUUUGGAGUUCUGAAAUCAAUUAUAACAGAUAAUGAAGCUAAUCUUGAUACUGGUUUGAUUCGUGAGAUAUGUGAGAAGUUUAAGAUUACUCAUAAUAAUUCCACUCCUUACCAACCUCAGAUGAAUGGAGUUUUUGAGGCUGCCAACAAGAACAUCAAAUGAAUAUUGCAGAAGAUGAUUAAUAACUGCAAGUAUUGGCAUGAGAAUUUGCCAUUUGCCCUCCAUGGCUAUCGCACCACUAUUGGACUUCUACUGGAGCAGCACAUUGUAUUUUUGUGUAUGGAACGGAAGUAGUGAUACCCGUAGAAGUAGAGAUACCAUAUUUGAGAAUCAUUCAGGAAGCUCAGUUGAGUGAUGCCAAAUGGAUUCAAAACUGGUAUGGACAAUUGAUACUAAUUGAUGAAAAGAGGAUGAACGCAGUUUGUCAUGGUCAACUUUAUCAGAAUAAAAUGGCCAAAGAUUUCAACAAGAAGGUAAGACCAAGACAUUUCAAACAAGGAAAAUUGGUGUUAAAACGCAUAUUUCUAUGCCAGAAUGAAGCUAAAGGAAAGUCCGCACCUCACUGACACGGGCUUACACGGUUCAUCGAGUACUGACAGGCGGAGCAUUGAUCCUAACAGAAACAAAUGGUGAAGUAUGGCCGAAAGCUAUAAAUGCAGAUGUUGUUAAGAAAUAUUAUGUUUAGAAGUCUUUAGUUGUUUUUUUAAUAAUUCUCCUUUUUCUAUGUAAUGAAACUAUGAAUGACCUAGUUUCCUUGGGGGAAUACGUAGGAAAUCCACGUCGAAGUUUGGUCUAUUAAGUAGAAAUUUCCCAAAAAUCCCUUGUUCUUGUAAUGUGAACUACAAUCGACCUUACUUCUUAGGCAGAUACGUAGGCAGCCACAUUGGCCUCGGUCACAUUAGAAGGAAAAAAAAUCAAAUUUCCUCCCUUUUCUAUUUCAUAUGUAAUUAAUUAUGUUCGAUCUGAUUCUUCCAAAAUCGAGCCAUGUCGUAGGGGCACCUUAAGCCCACAUUAACCAGAAGUUGCCCUGAUAACCUAUCACAAUCAUCACAUUAACCACAUGGGUCGAGUGAAUCCUGACAAAAAAUAAGAUAACGAAAAAUAUACCAUAAGUCAUAACUUAAAUAAUGUCUAACCAUUUCAUAAAUAUCAACACACUAGCCAAUAUACCCAUGUCCACAAUCAUCCACAAUACCUCCAUACAAACCAAAGUAUAGAAAUAUAUAUGUCGGGACAAGCCCCUGACAAUAGCCAAACUAGUCAAAAUAAGACUAAGUCUAAGGAUAGGGGACCAAGAAUUAAUGUCUUCCAAAAUAAGGAAGCUCACCACUCCGUAGUCGAUGCACGAACCGCUUCGAUCACCUAAUCGCUGCGUAGGAAGAGAAGAUGAUGCUCCGGCCCCUAUGUCGCGUGGAGACAUAGCAUUCGAAUACGGCUGGUGGUUGGAACGCUAGCAUGUAACUCAAAGAUAAGGAUAAAAUAGCAUAUAUAUAUAUAUAUAUAUAUUCAAUCACAUUCAUAACCUUAUCCAUACAUAUAGACAUAUCAUAUGCUAACCAGGGGACAAGUCUUACCAACAUUUUGGAAAGACUCAUUCAACAAACAUGCAAUGGAGGACUCUAAUCUUCCACACUUAUAGAUUCAAGCAUUUCUUAUUCGGCAUAGGACUUUAACCAUAUUCACAUAUCAUGAAGUAAGGGAUUCUAAGAACAUACACAUCCACUUAAGUGAAAGACACUAACCACUCACAUUCAUUCAAGCAAGGGACUCUAACCAUAUUCUCACAUAUUAGGCAAGGGACUCUAACCUCAUUCUAUAUUCGAUAGGAGACCCUAACCCCAUGCCAAUUUAUUUGGUGAGGCACUUCGACCUCAUGAGAUCUCAUUAUGCAAGAGACUGUAACCACAAGCGAUUCUAUUAGGCAAAGGACUUUAACCUCAAGCCAUCACGACUCUUAUUAGUCGACAUUGGGACUCUUAACCCUUUUUCCAUGCAUCCACAUACAUUCAAUUCUACACAUAAGGACUUUAACCUAUGUAGCUAAUUCAACACCAUACAUUACCAGAUAUGGUCUUCAUGGGAGCCUUCGUUGCUAAACCAUUUCUAUAGGCCAAUGCCUUAAUUCAACUCAUUAUACGAUUCAAACUAAGGUCCUCAAGACCCUUACAAGCCAUUACCACUUCAUUAGUAAUUCUAUACCAUAAUUUAGUUCAACACACAAUUCAAGUUCAUUUUCAUGUUAGGGACUUUAACCUCUUUCUUAUUCCUCCAACCAUCGAGGUCAUCAAUUACACAAUACGCGGCUUAUUUUACUUUCACAAUAUGAUUUAUCAAGCAUUCUUACAUAUUGGGCCAUUGCCCUAGUUCAAAGCAUCAUCGUUAUGUAACUAGACAUCUCACUUAGAUAUUUUCACAAACACCUUGUGUACAUGCCUUUACCAAGUACAAUUUCAUGGUAAAAACCAUCAAGACUAGGGUUACUCAAGACCCACAUGAUAUACCACAUACAAUAAGCAUUCAUGAGUGCAAACUACUAUAAAUAACAUGUAUAAACAUAAGUCUAGGCAAGAAUAAUCAUUAUUCAUCAUUUGGCAACAAAACCCUUUUCAUUCGAUUUCAAAACCACCGUGUACAAUUAUUAAUCCAAGUGUGAAAUACAUAGGUUUAGAGUUAUUUAGCUAGGGGAAGAGGUACAUGCCUUAGACAACUUCAAUCACCAAGAAUGUUGACUUCACUUUGCCUCUUGAAGAUCACCCUCGAAACCCUAGCCUCCAAUCCUUCAAAGAUGAGCUUGAGAGAGUAUUUAGGGUGUUUGAUCAAUCAAAAUGGAUUUUUCGGAGGAUACACACUCUUAUGUAGUGAGAGGUCUUAGGGUUUUAGGCAUAACAAAUAGCCACAAGACCCUUGGUUAAAAGCUGAAAAUUGAACCCAUCAAGGGGUACAACUCACCAUACGACUCACUUAAGUAGUCGUACACUAGGGCAUGAGUGGUACCCUAACUCGUACCCUAGGCUUCUCCUAGGUCACAAAAACUAUUAUGGGUACGAUCAUGCACCUUUAAGUUGUAUCCAAAGGGUACGACUCACCCCUAACUCGGACACAACAAUCGUACCCAAAAUAGUCCACUUCCCAACUCAUGAAUCCCCUAUACAACUCACCUUACUAUGACUCGUACCCUUAGGUACGAUUGAGGGGAGGGUCACUCGUACCUAGAAAAGUGAGUGACACUCACCGCGCUAUCUAGGAUAUGAGAGGGGAGGAGCAGAAGGAAAUAACAAGUAUCCAAGGGGUACGACUCAAGCCACUAAUUGUACCUACCCUUGUGACACCAAAAAAUGAAGUUUUUCAAUGAUUCUAAGUCUAGGUGUUUCUAUUCCCGUGGGAUACAUAGGCAACCCACGAAGAGUUCGGCCCCUUAGUUUUUAAUUUUCUUAAGUGUAUUUAAUGAACUACGCUCGGCCUGAUUCCCUUGGCGAGAUAUAUAGGCAGCCUAUACUAGGCUCGGUCUCAUCAUCUUGGAAAGUUAGCAUCUCGCUCAAACCAAAAUUGAGACAACAUUUAAAGGUCAUCAUUCUAAGAAAUGGUUGAAUAGAUGUCAAGAGAUACUGAAAAGUGUGGGUUCAACCAAGUUGUUGAAAAAUGGGACAUUCGUUUUGGAUAAAGGAGGUUCACAUUGUUUCAGAAUAUGUCAUAGUUCAAAAGUUUGGCAAAAUUUCUUUUGCCACUACGUAUAUUUGCAUAUUUUACUUAUCAAGUUAUUUAUUACUCUUGUUUAUCUUCUAUUUUAAAUAAUUUUCUGUUAAACAUUUUUUUAUUAUCUAUUUGCCAAUAUUGGAAUAGAUGGGGUUAUGAGUCCAAACAAAGUUGGAAGCACGUAGUAUCUAGAGCAAGUCCUUCAAAGUCGACACAAAUCAACCACCCCCAAAGUUACAAACUUUUCUCUGGAUGCUGGUUCUAUAAAUUAGCGAUGUUAAAAGUUAACGACAUUGCAGUCUUGUGAGGAUUACACCUCAAACGGUUUGGAUUCCUUUAAAGCAUUUAGGAGAAAUUAUGCCUUUGUAAUGAUAUUGAUUUUAAAAUUAUAAAUUAAACAAUUUUGAAGAUUGACAAAGAUUUCAAACGCACUACACAUAACUUCUGUUUGGUCUAUUUAAUGCCUUCAAAAUUAUUGCAUAAAUCUUUCAAAUGCUUAAAAUGCACAAUACAUGACUUUCAAUUGCUUGCACCGCACUUGCACUGUACAAAUGCGUUAAAAUGUGUUAAAAUGCAUUGCACACGACUUUAAUGACUCUGCACAAGCACAAUCGCUUUUAAUUUAUAAUGAAUAAUACAUAGCUUUCAAUUACUUUGCACCGCACAUGCACUGCACAAAUGCUUUAAAAUAUUUUAGAAUGCAUUGCACAUAGCUUUAAUGGCUUUGCAUAAGCACAAACGCACGACAUAAUUGCUUUUAAGAUAUUCUGCACUACUCAUGGCUUUCAUCUUCUUCUAAAGGAACUGCACAAUUGCUUUAAGUUAUGUCGCACUCUGCAUGACUUUCAUUUCUUCCAUAGCAUCGCGCAAUCACUUUCAAAUGCAUUGCACAACUAUUUUUUGAUAAGUGCAUAAAAACUUACGGAUGCACCAAACGAAUGCUUUAUAGAAUCCACCGCUUACAAAGGUUAUUUUUCAUAAAUCAUUAGCUUAGGGAAAAGCCUUCAUCUAUUAAUUAUUUGGCUUGAAAAUGCCUUAUAUUCAUAAUUUACUUAGUUUAAGGCUUCAUUUUCAUUGCCGAAAGGCACCAUUCUCAUUAAUCAUCAGUCUAAAACCUUAUUUUAUAAGCAUUGUUGAAGGUAUUAUAUCAUUAAAUUAUUUCUGUCCAAGGCCUCAUUUUCACAAAUUAACGCACGAGGGGUGUCAUUUUCAGGAAUUUCUAAAGAUUGUUUAUACUUAAUGUUUAUGUACUUGUUGUUUUAUCUAGUUUAAGUUUUACAGGAACCUUAGCAAAAAUGUGGAACUAUUUCUGAGCAGUGAACUUGGGCAAUUUAUUAGGAAUGAGGAUUAAACUCCCAACAAAGAUUAAGAAUCUACCUCGAACUUCACUUGACCCUACUUCUAAAUGCCCUACUAACAUUGAUAAUUUGAUGGUCAAGUUCUCUCAUUUUUAUCUUCUAUGUUCCUGAAUCAUCAUACCCAGUGUCAUCAUAAUACGACACUGGGACAAUCUUUAUAAGCUCAUGUUUAUCUUUUUUUCCUAAUCUACAAGAAUUAUGAGUUUUGAACUACAUAUGGCUUGGUUCUCAUACAACCUGACAUAUGUAAGCAACUCGGAGAUCAGAGUUUGACCACAUUCCUCCCAAACAUUUUUCAUACUUAUCCUUUCAGAUUCUAUCAGCUGGACAAAAUUAGGUUACUAAGUCAACUUCUUUGUUCAAAAAUUCUUUCAUCAUUUUCAACCAAAGAUGGACAGUUGUUGACACCCAAUUUUGUUCCGUCUUUCUUUCAAACUAUCUUUGUGCGCUUUUAAAUAACUUUGAUAGCUAAAAAAAGUUCAUGUAUGAUAUUCCUACAAUUAGGAGUUUAUGCAGGUUCUGCUACCAUUUGUAUUUCUAAAAUUAAGAAUUGUCGAUGACAUUAUUAUUAUUAUUAUUAUUAUUAUUAUCGUCAUCAUUAUUCUUUAUUGCUAUUUUUAUUAUAUUUUAAAUUAUCAUCGCAUUUUUUAUAAACUUGCGCAAAAGGCAUUAUAUUUUUUUUUAAUUAUAUGAAAUAUUUUUGUGAUUUUAUACUUUAUAAAUAAUAUCAUUCAAUUCCAACAUUUACGAUGCAACUUUGUUUAAGUACUUGUUUUAGUAUCAAAUGAUUUUUUUAUUUAUUCGAAUAUUUUAAUAUGUUUUAUCAAAAGUGUUAUUUGUAUUAAUUUAGAAGCCCAAAGCGUAUAAGAAGGAAAGCAUUUAAAUUAGCCCAUUCCUUUAAAUAUUUUUACAAUCUUGGCUUAAAUUGAGGUCUGAUCCAUUAAAUCUGACCUUUCUCUCCACUCGUCCACCUCAGCACCACUUGGAUGCCACAUUUGUGCAACAUAAGGCGCCAAACAGUCUCCGCACACGCCUGUAAUACUUCUUCCACAAUCAGCACAUGUCUCGCCACUUGUCUUGCUCUUAUUAGCAGGUCAAACCCAAUUAAUUUCCAAUUUACUCUAAACUACCUCUUAUACCCUCACUUACCCACAUAAAGCAUCUAUAAUUCCCCCUUGAAAUCCUAGAAGCAUACUAGGUUGCUCUCCUCUACUCUAUCAAUGCUGCUCUUUUCUCUCCAUUAUUAGCAAAAAUCUCACCUUCUUUAGCCAUGGACAGUCGUUCUCAUCCUUUUUUUGUGCAAACUUUGAUAACUCUAUCUGCUCUAUUCUCCCCUCUCUCAGUCAAAUAUAGUGACAAAGUCCUCCUAAUCAAUCAUAUUGCUAAGCUUAGAGCUACAGCUUUUUAGAAUUUUGAAAUCAAAUUCAAUUAACUCUUUUCAUGUUACAAACUUCCACCCAAAAAGAAUUCCCAUAAACCCUAGUUUCCCCUCUAUAAAUACAAAGAUUGGGGGAGGCUUGAGAGGGAGUUGUUUUAAGCAAAAAAUUCUUUGUUUACAACAAAGAACAAGAGCUUCUCUUUUUCAUAAAUAUCCAGUCCUUUCAUCUCUCUUUGAUUUUUGGAAUCCUUUGUGCCAUUCGAAUACAGAGUUUCUAUUUCGAGUGUAAAUUUCUGAUCUAAGAGUACCUUAGUUCACUGCUCCAAAACAGAUUGAUGGUCAGUCGUUGAGAAAGAAGUUGAAGCAGCAGAUAGGUCAAAAAUAUAAAUAUACAGCAACAAGUUGCUUCUUCAAAUCAUAUUGAAAAGACAUAUCAUAGAUAUUAGCCGGAUGAUUCAAAUAUUCAACCUUUACACAGGAAAACUAUGCGGAUCAUGUGUUGCUAGAAAUAAGAAAUCAAUAACCAACACAAUUAACAAACUCUAUAUUCCUGCGGAAUUGCCUUGACAUAUGGUUGAUGAGGCUUAUGUUCCUGUUAAUUGCGUUAAAGAAUUUCAUUAGGUGUUGGUUGUUAUUGUGCUGAAGGAAAGAGUCAUACGAGCCUAUGCCUCAUUAUUAGGAACCACAAAUAGGGACCCAUCCAAUGAAAUACACAAGUUGGUCGUGAUGUUGCCUAUUUACUUGUCUGAUAAUGGGUUCUUUGAAAGGACAAAAUGUGUUGACUGGCAAAUUCUGAAUGUGUAUAAAGAUAAAUUGGGUCAGCGCACUCAGAUUCUCAACCAACACCCAUUUGACGUUCAGUAUGUUGAAAACAUAGCCCAACAAGCGUGUGCUAGUCUAUAUUGUGGUGUUUUUGUAGUUGGAUAUGCAGAAAUCUUAAGUGAAGGGCUAACAGUGCCUUCAAGUGGGUUUGACGCACAAACUCAACGAAUACGCUAUGCAACAUUACUUUGAAAUUACAAAGUUAUCAAGUCAUCUGAAGGAUACACAAGUGACAAUGAUGAUCCUCCGCGACCAAGUCCAAGUUAUGUUCAAUCAGUUGACAAAACAACAAUAGUUAGUUUAGAGUAGCACAGAUUUUUAACCUUCUACAUGAUCACAUUUACUAACUUAUUUUAGUAAUGGAUGUUAAAGAUUUAUAGCACUUGUUAUAUUUUUAGUAUUAGAUUGAAUUUUUGUUUUUUUGUUGGAUUUAGGAUUUGGGAUGUCUUAAGGAUGCUUAUCUAUCUUCUUUUUCUUUAAUAUGUUGAUAGAUUAAUUUUGUUAUUA
Capsicum annuum is the source of this 12653-nucleotide long non-coding RNA. RefSeq lists it as uncharacterized. Lineage: Eukaryota; Viridiplantae; Streptophyta; Magnoliopsida; Solanales; Solanaceae. The record is from RefSeq and is a predicted model, not a curated record. The transcript is spliced from 4 exons.